This 255-nucleotide ribosomal RNA is filed under the name uncultured bacterium. RNAcentral's name for it is "partial 16S ribosomal RNA". It matches the Rfam family "Bacterial small subunit ribosomal RNA", at positions 524 to 778 of the family's 1533-position model. The record is from RNAcentral.
UACGGGGGGGCAAGCGUUGUUCGGAAUUACUGGGCGUAAAGGGCUCGUAGGCGGCCAACUAAGUCAGACGUGAAAUCCCUCGGCUUAACCGGGGAACUGCGUCUGAUACUGGAUGGCUCGAGUUUGGGAGAGGGAUGCGGAAUUCCAGUGUAGCGGUGAAAUGCGUAGAUAUCUGGAGGAACACCGGUGGCGAAGGCGGCAUCCUGGACCAACACGUGACGCUGACGGAGCGAAAGCCAGGGGAGCCAAAGCGGG